UUUCAUUUCUAUGAGAUGGUUUUUUUAAAAAAGUUUUAUAUAGCCGAUUUUUCUUAGAUAUGGACCUAAAAACACCACCUGUCAUCCAGGGACUUUUUUCAUGAUCAAAGGAUUUGUUUUUCAUUUUUACAAAAGGAAAAUUCUUAUCAAUUGCUGCUUUUAAAUUAUUAUGAAAUUAUUUAUUAUUCAAAACAUUUCAAUCAACGUACAAUACUCCUGAGUUAACUCAUUCAUGCAUUUAUGUGUUGCGCUAUUUGAAUGAAAUGUUUAAUAUUCUCUUGUUUAAACUCGAAGAUAGAAUAUUGUACUGGGUUUUCCAACACUAUAAUAAUGCAUACCAUUUCGUGGUUCAUUAGUUAUAAACUAUGAGUAAAUCUCGCCAAGACUUAGGGUAGAUCAGAUAUUUUCCUACUAAUCUAUAGUCUUCAUUUUUUCCCUGGGAGCAUUCCCCCGGAUCCCCCUGACAAACUCACGCCUUCGACGUUCGCUAUAGGCCCCUUAAUCUAAAAAUAGCUCCGUAGUUGACCUCCAUCGGAAAUUCCACAAGCUUCCAUGGCUAGCAGGUGGUCGGUGCAAGCUCGUUCGUCACGGUUAAAAUGACCUUACACCUCCCCUAAAAAAUUUCCUGGGGACGGCCCUGCAUGUAAUGCACUCCAACGUUGUCUUUGCCAUUGUUGUCAUUGUUUCGCCUUCAGAACCUCUUCCACGAUACCAUUUCGUUUCUGUUCGUUAAUGAUAUUCUCAUAUUCUUGUAACAAUUCAGGCUCUUUGGUUAAUUUCUUCUGUAAUGACCGAAGUCUAUCACGG
Molecule: non-coding RNA, 807 nt
Organism: Paramuricea clavata
Lineage: Eukaryota; Metazoa; Cnidaria; Anthozoa; Malacalcyonacea; Plexauridae
Source: the annotation of a GenBank genome assembly